RNAcentral lists this transfer RNA (83 nucleotides) under Firmicutes bacterium ADurb.Bin248. RNAcentral describes it as "tRNA-Leu". It matches the Rfam family "tRNA". Rfam says of the family: Transfer RNA (tRNA) molecules are approximately 80 nucleotides in length. Their secondary structure includes four short double-helical elements and three loops (D, anti-codon, and T loops). Lineage: Bacteria; Bacillati; Bacillota. RNAcentral also lists the same sequence under 4 other names. The record is from RNAcentral.
GCGGUCGUGGCGGAAUUGGCAUACGCGCACGUUUGAGGGGCGUGUGGGAGACCGUACGGGUUCAAGUCCCGUCGACCGCACCA